Non-coding RNA from Equus caballus (horse), 531 nucleotides. The record is from RefSeq and is a predicted model, not a curated record. NCBI's taxonomy places the organism in Eukaryota, Metazoa, Chordata, Mammalia, Perissodactyla, Equidae.
CUGAUGGAUUUCUGAGGUCGGGCCCUCCUCAUCUGAGGAGGCUGGAUGAUGUUGUGUACAUUGUAGAGAUGGUCAAAGCUGUACUGGCUAUAAGAAAUGCUGGGCAGCCCUCGCUGCCACACCACCUCCUGAGAGAAGAUUUAAAAACCGAGGCCCAGAGAAGAGAGACAUGACUAAGGUCAUAGUACUGGUUAGAACCAGAAGCAGUAUUGACUCUUUGACACCUAAUCCCAAAUGUUUUCAACUACUUCAGGCUGCCUCUCAUCACUCAGCUGAUGCUAGUAAGCUCACUUCAGAUAUUGGAAAAGCAGCAGUUUUGAAAUUACCUUCGAAAUGACCUCUCACAACAAGGUCUUCAACAGGAAGCAAGGUUCUCCAUCUUAACUUUACUUAGUUUCCUAGGUUCCAAAGCUGUUUACAUUGGUUACCAGGUACCACCUCUUCAGAAUUCCAUGAGUCUACUCACAGAACCUAUGGGUUCAAUCAGGAGUAUCUUCAGCUACUUAUUAAAUUUCCUUCUUUGUAAACUGA